GUGUUUCCCUCAAUAUUUUUCCCAAUAUCCAGUUCAGUAGAGAGCAUUGUGAAGGAAUUACAAUUUUUGUUUAUCCAAAUUUUAUGAAUUUUUUACAGUGCCUUAAUGUGCCCAAAUCAUCAUCCUCCUCCAAAUUUCAACUCAAUCCAAUCAUCUAUGUGAGCCCAGUUUCAAUUACCAUUUUCUGUCCAGAUUGGCACAUUGUGAAGGAAGUGUCACUUUGGCAUGUCCAAAUGGUAUAAUUUUUUUAUAGUGCC
This 257-nucleotide long non-coding RNA is filed under the name Hordeum vulgare. RNAcentral describes it as "long non-coding RNA (HVUL_LNC007002)". The record is from RNAcentral. Lineage: Eukaryota; Viridiplantae; Streptophyta; Magnoliopsida; Poales; Poaceae.